Molecule: ribosomal RNA, 505 nt
Filed under: uncultured bacterium
Lineage: Bacteria
Description: partial 16S ribosomal RNA
Rfam family: Bacterial small subunit ribosomal RNA
Source: RNAcentral
GACGAACGCUGGCGGCGUGCCUAAUACAUGCAAGUGGGACGCAAGGAAACACACUGUGCUUGCACACCGUGUUUUCUUGAGUCGCGAACGGGUGAGUAACGCGUAGGUAACCUGCCUAUUAGCGGGGGAUAACUAUUGGAAACGAUAGCUAAUACCGCAUAAUAUUAAUUAUUGCAUGAUAAUUGAUUGAAAGAUGCAAGCGCAUCACUAGUAGAUGGACCUGCGUUGUAUUAGCUAGUUGGUAAGGUAAGAGCUUACCAAGGCGACGAUACAUAGCCGACCUGAGAGGGUGAGCGGCCACACUGGGACUGAGACACGGCCCAGACUCCUACGGGAGGCAGCAGUAGGGAAUCUUCGGCAAUGGACGAAAGUCUGACCGAGCAACGCCGCGUGAGUGAAGAAGGUUUUCGGAUCGUAAAGCUCGGUUGUAAGUCAAGAACGUGUGUGAGAGUGGAAAGUUCACACAGUGACGGUAGCUUACCAGAAAGGGACGGCUAACUACGUG